RNAcentral lists this transfer RNA (76 nucleotides) under candidate division WWE3 bacterium CG_4_10_14_0_2_um_filter_47_8. RNAcentral's name for it is "tRNA-Val". It matches the Rfam family "tRNA". Rfam says of the family: Transfer RNA (tRNA) molecules are approximately 80 nucleotides in length. Their secondary structure includes four short double-helical elements and three loops (D, anti-codon, and T loops). Further hydrogen bonds mediate the characteristic L-shaped molecular structure. tRNAs have two regions of fundamental functional importance: the anti-codon, which is responsible for specific mRNA codon recognition, and the 3' end, to which the tRNAs corresponding amino acid is attached (by aminoacyl-tRNA synthetases). tRNAs cope with the degeneracy of the genetic code in two manners: having more than one tRNA (with a specific anti-codon) for a particular amino acid; and 'wobble' base-pairing, i.e. permitting non-standard base-pairing at the 3rd anti-codon position. RNAcentral also lists the same sequence under 3 other names. Lineage: Bacteria; candidate division WWE3. The record is from RNAcentral.
GGGUCUGUAGCUCAGCGGCAAGAGCGUUCGGCUUACAUCCGAAAGGUCCCUGGUUCGAAUCCAGGCAGGCCCACCA